Molecule: transfer RNA, 58 nt
Filed under: Dipodomys ordii (Ord's kangaroo rat)
Lineage: Eukaryota; Metazoa; Chordata; Mammalia; Rodentia; Heteromyidae
Rfam family: tRNA
About the family: Transfer RNA (tRNA) molecules are approximately 80 nucleotides in length. Their secondary structure includes four short double-helical elements and three loops (D, anti-codon, and T loops). Further hydrogen bonds mediate the characteristic L-shaped molecular structure. tRNAs have two regions of fundamental functional importance: the anti-codon, which is responsible for specific mRNA codon recognition, and the 3' end, to which the tRNAs corresponding amino acid is attached (by aminoacyl-tRNA synthetases). tRNAs cope with the degeneracy of the genetic code in two manners: having more than one tRNA (with a specific anti-codon) for a particular amino acid; and 'wobble' base-pairing, i.e. permitting non-standard base-pairing at the 3rd anti-codon position.
Source: Rfam by way of RNAcentral
UGGCUCAGUGGUAGAGCGCUUGCCUUGCAGGCAUGAGGCCCUGGGUUCGAUUCCUCAG